UACGUAGGAGGCGAGCGUUGUCCGGAGUUACUGGGCGUAAAGGGUGCGCAGGUGGCCGUGCGCGUGGGGCGUGAAAUCGCCUGGCUUAACUGGGCGGGGGCUUUCCAGACGGCGCGGCUUGAGCCACAGAGGGGGGCGUGGAAUUCCGGGUGGAGCGGUGAAAUGCGUAGAGAUCCGGAGGAACACCGACGGCGUAGGCAGCGCCCUGGCUGUGAAUAAAGCUGACACUGAGGCACGAAAGCUGGGGGAGCAAACAGG
RNAcentral lists this ribosomal RNA (258 nucleotides) under uncultured bacterium. RNAcentral's name for it is "partial 16S ribosomal RNA". It matches the Rfam family "Bacterial small subunit ribosomal RNA", at positions 524 to 776 of the family's 1533-position model. The record is from RNAcentral.